This 936-nucleotide unclassified non-coding RNA is filed under the name Hevea brasiliensis (rubber tree). The record is from RNAcentral. Lineage: Eukaryota; Viridiplantae; Streptophyta; Magnoliopsida; Malpighiales; Euphorbiaceae.
CCGACUCCAAAUUAUUUCCAAAUAAUAUAGAACCUUUAGCUCUUGAUAGUUUUACUAUUCUAACCUAAGGAGGCUCAUUGACAAGCCACCCUCAGGUCUGCAAUUUUUCAGGCAAGACCAAAUUAAAGUUCAGAAAUCAUAACUAGUCAACAAAAAUUAAAAAUUGGCACGAACAAGAAAGCACAAAUUAUCACUGAUGUCUGAGGAAUCAAGUAGAUUCACAACAUUUAAAGGGAGUCACAGUAAUUCCUAACAAACAAACCAAGGUACCUUCUCCAGGGUGCCUUUUAAGCAUCUAAAUCACUGAAUCUUGCAUCAAAGCCCUGGUAGAUAUCGAUAGAACAGAAAACAUUGCACUGAAAGAACUGCCAAGAUAUAGAUCUCCCAAAAUCAGCAAUCUUCUCUGCAACUUCAACCAUGCCAAUCUCCGAAGCACCGUGAUGAAUGGGUGGCUCAAUGCCUGGGAAACAGUCAUUCUCUUUUCUGGAUCUAACACAAAAAUUCUCUCCAUAAGAUCUUUGAAGUGAGCCAACAUCUUUGGGUCUUCACCUGGAGAGCCAGAAAUUAUUGAACUGAUAUCUUUUGGCUUAAUAUUAACAAUCAGCUUCCUUAUAGCCUUCUUUGUAACAGGAUCCUCUUCGAUGGCAAGAAAAUUGAGAUCUUGGUCAAAAUGUUGUUCUGUAAAUGCACCCUUUCUAAGCAUCUUUUUUGGAAAUGGACCUUUCAAUUCCAUAUGAAGACGAAGCAUGUCAUUAUUAGUUGGACCUGGAAAUAAUACUUUCCCAGCAUAGAGCUCAAACAAACAGCAACCCACUGACCAUAUAUCCAUCGGGUGAUCAUACGACAAUCCAAGAAUGAUCUCUGGGGCACGGUAAAAACGGCUCACGAGGUAUGGAGUAAUUUCAUUUUUUCCAGCAAACAUAGCAUUACCAAAGU